AGUGAACGCUGGCGGUAGGCCUAACACAUGCAAGUCGAACGGCAGCACAGUAAGAGCUUGCUCUUACGGGUGGCGAGUGGCGGACGGGUGAGGAAUACAUCGGAAUCUACUUUUUCGUGGGGGAUAACGUAGGGAAACUUACGCUAAUACCGCAUACGACCUACGGGUGAAAGCAGGGGAUCUUCGGACCUUGCGCGAUUGAAUGAGCCGAUGUCGGAUUAGCUAGUUGGCGGGGUAAAGGCCCACCAAGGCGACGAUCCGUAGCUGGUCUGAGAGGAUGAUCAGCCACACUGGAACUGAGACACGGUCCAGACUCCUACGGGAGGCAGCAGUGGGGAAUAUUGGGCAAUGGGCGCAAGCCUGAUCCAGCCAUACCGAGUGGGUGAAGAAGGCCUUCGGGUUGUAAAGCCCUUUUGUUGGGAAAGAAAAGCAGCAGGUUAAUACCCCGCUGUUCUGACGGUACCCAAAGAAUAAGCACCGGCUAACUUCGUG
RNAcentral lists this ribosomal RNA (492 nucleotides) under uncultured bacterium. RNAcentral's name for it is "partial 16S ribosomal RNA". It matches the Rfam family "Bacterial small subunit ribosomal RNA", at positions 29 to 507 of the family's 1533-position model. The record is from RNAcentral.